AGAGUUUGAUUCUGGCUCAGGACGAACGCUGGCGGCAUGCCUAAUACAUGCAAGUCGAACGCUGAAGCACUCUGCUUGCAGAGUGCGGAUGAGUGGCGAACGGGUGAGUAACACGUGGGAAAUCUGCCUAGGAGUGGGGGAUAACAUUCGGAAACGGAUGCUAAUACCGCAUAUCUUUUUGAACCGCAUGGUUCUUAAACGAAAGACGGCUUCGGCUGUCGCUCUUAGAUGAUCCCGCGGCGUAUUAGUUAGUUGGUGGGGUAAAGGCCUACCAAGACCAUGAUACGUAGCCGACCUGAGAGGGUGAUCGGCCACACUGGGACUGAGACACGGCCCAGACUCCUACGGGAGGCAGCAGUAGGGAAUCUUCCACAAUGGGUGAAAACCUGAUGGAGCAAUGCCGCGUGAAUGAAGAAGGUCUUCGGAUCGUAAAGUUCUGUUAUUAGAGAAGAACAAGUCAAGGAGUAACUGUCUUGACUUUGACGGUACCUAACCAGAAAGUCACGGCUAACUACGUGCCAGCAGCCGCGGUAAUACGUAGGUGACAAGCGUUGUCCGGAAUUAUUGGGCGUAAAGGGAGCGCAGGCGGUUGGAAUAGUCUGAUGUGAAAGCCCACGGCUUAACCGUGGAAGGUCAUUGGAAACUGUCCAACUUGAAUACAGAAGAGGUAAGUGGAAUUCCAAGUGUAGCGGUGAAAUGCGUAGAUAUUUGGAGGAACACCAGUGGCGAAGGCGACUUACUGGUCUGUAAUUGACGCUGAGGCUCGAAAGCGUGGGUAGCAAACAGAAGUAGAUACCCUGGUAGUCCACGCCGUAAA
RNAcentral lists this ribosomal RNA (817 nucleotides) under uncultured bacterium. Its description in RNAcentral is "bacterial SSU rRNA". It matches the Rfam family "Bacterial small subunit ribosomal RNA", at positions 8 to 806 of the family's 1533-position model. The record is from RNAcentral.